GUGCUUGCCUCAGCAGUACAUAUAUUAAAACUGGAAUCAUACAGAGGUUAGCAUGACCCCUGUAUAAGGAUGACAGGCAAAUCCUGACAAGUUCUGGCUAUAAAG
Molecule: small nuclear RNA, 105 nt
Organism: Perognathus longimembris pacificus (Pacific pocket mouse)
Lineage: Eukaryota; Metazoa; Chordata; Mammalia; Rodentia; Heteromyidae
Source: RefSeq, a predicted model, not a curated record